RNAcentral lists this unclassified non-coding RNA (2585 nucleotides) under Hevea brasiliensis (rubber tree). The record is from RNAcentral. Lineage: Eukaryota; Viridiplantae; Streptophyta; Magnoliopsida; Malpighiales; Euphorbiaceae.
AAUGAGGUGAAAAGUUAACCUAGUUUCUUUAAGUAUCCAAAUAACAUUAAUGAAGGGUUAAAAGUUAUAAGGGUAAUAAUUAUCUCUUGUUAAUCUCGUAUCAAACAUCGCCUAAGAGUAUUUCCCUAUUGUAUUGCUAUAGUACCCCAUGCCUUUGCUGCAUUAAUCCUCUAGCAAACUUGCUUUCUAUUUCCCAAAGGAUUUUCCUUUACUUCCCUUAGUAAACAUAGGUUGAUGGAACAACAAAAUAAUGCAAGCACAAAAUCAUCAAAAGAAAAUAUAUGCCAUAGCACAUAGGAACCUGUUUCUGUAUACUUGAAAUUUCUGGACCUCCUGGCAGCUGCCAAAUUUUGCACCAAAAUAAAGUUUUAUUGGAUGUUGAAAUGACACAUUGCGAGUACGCAGAAAUUUCUCCUGUGGGUACCACAAAGAGCACCUGAAUUCUUUAUCUCCGCAUCUUCUAUGGAAAGAUUCAACAAAAUUUCUAGCAUCAUCUGAAAAGAACAAAUUAAAAAACUCCUCUACCUCUAUCUGCAGUCCAUGAAAAGAAAAGGUAACAUCAGCAACCAACAAAACCAGCAUGCCAAUUGUUAUUGAAUUUUAUAUCAGUAAAACAAACAGAAGCACAUUUAGAAAUAAAAAUUAUAGCAUAUGAAUGCAACAAUACCGGAAAUUUUGUUUCCCCUACUCUCAUAUAAGUUUUUGGAACUGCAUAUCACAAACAACCAGUUCAGAUUAUCAGGGAACAAACUAUCAUGAAGAAGAAUGUGACAUACAUAAAACCAAAUUCACAAAAAAACAUCAUCUAAAACUCUCAACAUCAAUCAAUGCCCAAAUUAGCAAUAUUUUUGUUUUAAAUGGGAACCUAGCUUCCCAACCAGAAACGGCUCUAUAGCAGGAUACUCAUCUCACCAUUUCUAUAAGCCACUACAAUCUUCCUUCACAGUGUAUCAUCUUCAUUUUAAAACCCCCACCACAAGCCAACAAAUCUAAUAGGCCUGAGAUCAACUUGACAAACAACUUAAUGUUGAAAUUUCCAAUUUUUUUCAAGUACUAACUAAAGAAACUACAGAGUUAACUACACAAUUAAAAAGAACUAUAUUCCUGACAACUAUAAUGAUUACUAAAAGAACAUAGCCACUAAAUUAAAAAAUGAUCCAGCAUGUUGCAUAGAAAACAACAAAAUCCUCAACUAAAAGUUAUAGGAAAGAGUUGACUAACUCUCAGGUGCAUCAGUUUCCUCCUCAUUCCAUGUCCGAGUUUGCAUUGAAGAUGAAGAGUUGAUAUGUUCAACUGGUUCAACAUCCUGUUCUGCAUUAUCUUGUAUCUCUGUACGUGUUACUAAAACUCUGUCAUUCUCAACUUGGGAAGGGGAUGGAAGCUUAUAGUCAUUUGAAGUAGAAGCAUCCUUAUCCCUGUUACUGGAAUCCAAUUCGUUGACUUCUUUAAAGCUAUUCAACUUUUCAAUUACAAGAAGCCCAUUAUCUUGGCUGUUAGACCCAGAUACUGACUCCUGAUGUUCUGUUACUGAUUUAGAAUCAUUCCAAUGCUGCAACCAUCCAUCAUUGAUGAGGUUGAAAGCUUCAUCACGGGAUAGGAAUGAAGCAAAGAAGUACUUUCUCCCUCCAGCAAAAAUUUCUAUCGCAUUAGGGAAUAUUCCAGCUAUCUUUGCUCUUUUCACAUUCGUAAUUUCAAUGAAGGGAAUUAUUUUCUGGAGCACAAACUCAUAGAUAGUUGCAGUAAUGAUAAGGUGAGAGGGUAAAAACUAUAAAUGCACAUAGACCAGUCAAAGGUAACUAUAAAUAUAACUAAGGUUCAAGCUGACCUUUGUCUCAAAUCCAAAUAUGUUGGAGUAAAAACAAAUAUAACGUGUAAAAAGGUACAUAUGCCCCUGUAGCAUAUACACAACAAGUUAAUGCAUAAAUAUUAGGAAACACAUUUACCUUCUUCCCAUAAAAUAUAAAUAGGAUCCAUAGGAGCAAAUAUUGUUGCACAAACUUAGUAUGUCAUCAUUUACAAAAGAAAGUCCUUAGUCAAUAGUUGAGAUGCAGUAAAAAAUAAAGUAAAUAGUCAGAAAAUAGCACAACCCCAAAUACACAAUACAUAUUAUGAUCAAAAUUACCUGAAGAAGAAUACUUUCCUGGAAUGCACAAUUAAAGUCCCGUACAAGAGCUUCCUCAGAUGGAAGACGGAAAAGUUGUCGAUACUCUUCACUCAAUAAUGCUGAGGGCUGAUUUUCGACGUCGCGGUUAGCAUUUUGAGAAGAAUUGGAGUGGUCGCUGCGAUCAGGCGUUUCCGAAGCUGGGGAAGACGAUUCGGACCCCGAGUCAGAAGCUGAUUUUGAGGCAGAGGGCUCCAUGUGCAAGGGAUCGAUCCCCACUGCGCUUUCUGAGGCCACUGCCAUAGCACAGUUGGGGAGCUUGGAAAAAGGAAAUGAAAUUUGGAUCGAAGAGAUAGUUAGAGGCAAUUGAGCUUUUUGCCAAUGGACAAUGGACACACGGUGGAACGGUCGGUUUUUUCAGUCAAAUUCCUCUGCACAGCAAAAUCCUACUGUGGGACGUUGAUCUGUUAACACGUGGCUCAAG